Molecule: ribosomal RNA, 1262 nt
Filed under: uncultured bacterium
Lineage: Bacteria
Description: bacterial SSU rRNA
Rfam family: Bacterial small subunit ribosomal RNA
Source: RNAcentral
AGAGUUUGAUCAUGGCUCAGGAUGAACGCUAGCUACAGGCUUAACACAUGCAAGUCGAGGGGCAGCAUGGUCUUAGCUUGCUAAGGCCGAUGGCGACCGGCGCACGGGUGAGUAACACGUAUCCAACCUGCCGUCUACUCUUGGACAGCCUUCUGAAAGGAAGAUUAAUACAAGAUGGCAUCAUGAGUUCACAUGUUCACAUGAUUAAAGGUAUUCCGGUAGACGAUGGGGAUGCGUUCCAUUAGAUAGUAGGCGGGGUAACGGCCCACCUAGUCUUCGAUGGAUAGGGGUUCUGAGAGGAAGGUCCCCCACAUUGGAACUGAGACACGGUCCAAACUCCUACGGGAGGCAGCAGUGAGGAAUAUUGGUCAAUGGGCGAGAGCCUGAACCAGCCAAGUAGCGUGAAGGAUGACUGCCCUAUGGGUUGUAAACUUCUUUUAUAAAGGAAUAAAGUCGGGUAUGCAUACCCGUUUGCAUGUACUUUAUGAAUAAGGAUCGGCUAACUCCGUGCCAGCAGCCGCGGUAAUACGGAGGAUCCGAGCGUUAUCCGGAUUUAUUGGGUUUAAAGGGAGCGUAGAUGGAUGUUUAAGUCAGUUGUGAAAGUUUGCGGCUCAACCGUAAAAUUGCAGUUGAUACUGGAUAUCUUGAGUGCAGUUGAGGCAGGCGGAAUUCGUGGUGUAGCGGUGAAAUGCUUAGAUAUCACGAAGAACUCCGAUUGCGAAGGCAGCCUGCUAAGCUGCAACUGACAUUGAGGCUCGAAAGUGUGGGUAUCAAACGGGAUUAGAUACCCCGGUAGUCCACACGGUAAACGAUGAAUACUCGCUGUUUGCGAUAUACAGCAAGCGGCCAAGCGAAAGCGUUAAGUAUUCCACCUGGGGAGUACGCCGGCAACGGUGAAACUCAAAGGAAUUGACGGGGGCCCGCACAAGCGGAGGAACAUGUGGUUUAAUUCGAUGAUACGCGAGGAACCUUACCCGGGCUUAAAUUGCAGAUGAAUUACGGUGAAAGCCGUAAGCCGCAAGGCAUCUGUGAAGGUGCUGCAUGGUUGUCGUCAGCUCGUGCCGUGAGGUGUCGGCUUAAGUGCCAUAACGAGCGCAACCCUUGUUGUCAGUUACUAACAGGUUCUGCUGAGGACUCUGACAAGACUGCCAUCGUAAGAUGUGAGGAAGGUGGGGAUGACGUCAAAUCAGCACGGCCCUUACGUCCGGGGCUACACACGUGUUACAAUGGGGGGUACAGAGGGCCGCUACCACGCGAGUGGA